Molecule: transfer RNA, 75 nt
Filed under: Lactobacillus crispatus
Lineage: Bacteria; Bacillati; Bacillota; Bacilli; Lactobacillales; Lactobacillaceae
Description: tRNA-Gly
Rfam family: tRNA
About the family: Transfer RNA (tRNA) molecules are approximately 80 nucleotides in length. Their secondary structure includes four short double-helical elements and three loops (D, anti-codon, and T loops).
Source: RNAcentral
GCGGAAAUAGUUAAGUGGCAGAACAUCACCUUCCCAUGGCGGGGGUCGCGGGAUCGAAUCCCGUCUUCCGCUCCA